RNAcentral lists this ribosomal RNA (253 nucleotides) under uncultured bacterium. RNAcentral's name for it is "partial 16S ribosomal RNA". It matches the Rfam family "Bacterial small subunit ribosomal RNA", at positions 524 to 776 of the family's 1533-position model. The record is from RNAcentral.
UACGUAGGGGGCAAGCGUUGUCCGGAAUCAUUGGGCGUAAAGCGCGUGUAGGCGGCUCGGUAAGUCCGCUCUGAAAGUCCGGGGCUCAACCCCGGGAGGCGGGUGGAUACUGUCGAGCUAGAGUCCGGAAGAGGCGAGUGGAAUUCCUGGUGUAGCGGUGAAAUGCGCAGAUAUCAGGAGGAACACCGAUGGCGAAGGCAGCUCGCUGGGACGGUACUGACGCUGAGACGCGAAAGCGUGGGGAGCAAACAGG